UACGGAGGGUGCAAACGUUGCUCGGAAUCAUUGGGCGUAAAGCGCACGUAGGCGGUUCGUUAAGUUGGGUGUGAAAGCCCUCGGCUUAACCGAGGAAGUGCAUCCAAAACUGGCGAGCUUGAGUAUGGAAGAGGGUCUCGGAAUUCCCGGUGUAGAGGUGAAAUUCGUAGAGAUCGGGAGGAACACCAGUGGCGAAGGCGGAGACCUGGGCCAAUACUGACGCUGAGGUGCGAAAGCGUGGGGAGCAAACAGG
Molecule: ribosomal RNA, 253 nt
Filed under: uncultured bacterium
Lineage: Bacteria
Description: partial 16S ribosomal RNA
Rfam family: Bacterial small subunit ribosomal RNA
Source: RNAcentral